GAUGAACGCUGGCGGCGUGCCUAAUACAUGCAAGUCGAGCGAACAGACGAGGAGCUUGCUCCUCUGACGUUAGCGGCGGACGGGUGAGUAACACGUGGAUAACCUACCUAUAAGACUGGGAUAACUUCGGGGAACCGGAGCUAAUACCGGAUAAUAUAUUGAACCGCAUGGUUCAAUAGUGAAAGACGGUUUUGCUGUCACUUAUAGAUGGAUCCGCGCCGCAUUAGCUAGUUGGUAAGGUAACGGCUUACCAAGGCAACGAUGCGUAGCCGACCUGAGAGGGUGAUCGGCCACACUGGGACUGAGACACGGUCCAGACUCCUACGGGAGGCAGCAGUAGGGAAUCUUCCGCAAUGGGCGGAAGCCUGACGGAGCAACGCCGCGUGAGUGAUGAAGGUCUUCGGAUCGUAAAGCUCUGUUAUUAGGGAAGAACAAAUGUGUAAGUAACUAUGCACGUCUUGACGGUACCUAAUCAGAAAGCCACGGCUAACUACGUG
This 497-nucleotide ribosomal RNA is filed under the name uncultured bacterium. RNAcentral's name for it is "partial 16S ribosomal RNA". It matches the Rfam family "Bacterial small subunit ribosomal RNA", at positions 28 to 507 of the family's 1533-position model. The record is from RNAcentral.